Molecule: ribosomal RNA, 1338 nt
Filed under: human gut metagenome
Description: bacterial LSU rRNA
Rfam family: Bacterial large subunit ribosomal RNA
Source: RNAcentral
ACUGAAUGCAAUCAAACUCCGAAUGCCAUGUGAGUAUGCUCAGGAGUCACCGUGUGGGUGAUAACGUCCAUACGCGAAAGGAAAAGAGUCCAAGAUCGCCGAUUAAGGUCCCAAAAUUUGUGCUAAGUGGAAAAGGAUGUGGAGUUGUCAAAACAGCUAGGAGGUUGGCUUAGAAGCAGCCAUCCUUUAAAGAGUGCGUAAUAGCUCACUAGUCGAGUGACACUGCGCCGAAGAUGUACCGGGGCUAAGCACAAUACCGAAAUCGCGGAUUCAUAGAAUACUAUGAGUGGUAGGGGAGCGUUCCAAGGGCGUUGAAGGUUGAUCGUGAGGACAGCUGGAGCGCUUGGAAGUGAGAAUGCCGGUGUGAGUAGCGCAAGAUGGGUGAGAAUCCCAUCCACCGUUUGACUAAGGGUUCCUGGGGCAGGUUCGUCCUCCCAGGGUUAGUCGGGUCCUAAGACGAGGCCGAAAGGCGUAGCCGAUGGACAACAGGUUGAUAUUCCUGUACUAUCUAUAUGACUGAUGGAGUGACGGAGAAGGCUAGGAAGAGCCAGUUAAUGGAUUCUGGUCUAAGCACAAAGGUUUAUAAUUAGGGAAAUCCGGUUAUAGAUAAGCUGAAGUGUGAUGGUGAAACUGUUUACAGCGAAAUCUUCUGACGCCAUGCUUCCAAGAAAAGCUUCUAGGGCUAAUCAUAUAGGUACCCGUACCCAGAACCGACACAGGUGGUCAAGGAGAGUAUCCUAAGGUGAGCGAGAGAACCACGGUUAAGGAACUCGGCAAAAUAACCCCGUAACUUCGGAAUAAGGGGUGGUCGUUUCGGCGACCGACACUAAAGACGCCCAGGCAACUGUUUACCAAAAACAUAGGUUUCUGCAAAUUCGAAAGAAGAAGUAUAGGAGCUGACACCUGCCCAGUGCUGGAAGGUUAAGAGGAGUGCUUAGAUAGACGCAAGUCGAUGAUUCGAAGGUACGAAUUGAAGCCCCAGUGAACGGCGGCCGUAACUAUAACGGUCCUAAGGUAGCGAAAUUCCUUGUCAGGUAAGUUCUGACCCGCACGAAAGGUGUAAUGAUCUGGGCACUGUCUCAACCGUGGACUCGGUGAAAUCUUAAUACCUGUGAAAAUGCAGGUUACCCGCAUCAGGACGGAAAGACCCCAUGGAGCUUUACUGUAGCUUGAUAUUGAAGUUCGGUACAUUAUGUAGAGGAUAGGUGGGAGACUGUGAGACUAAGACGCCAGUCUUAGAGGAGUCAACCUUGGAAUACCACCCUUAAUGUAUUGGAUUUCUAACCUAGACCCAUAAUCUGGGCCAGGGACAGUGUCUGGUGGGCAGUUUGACUGGGG